Molecule: long non-coding RNA, 1444 nt
Organism: Lolium rigidum
Lineage: Eukaryota; Viridiplantae; Streptophyta; Magnoliopsida; Poales; Poaceae
Exons: 5
Source: RefSeq, a predicted model, not a curated record
CUUAUCCCCAUCUCCACCGCAGUCCGCAGCAAUCACAGCUACCCUCCCCGCCUAUUUGCGCCGCCGUGUGAGAGAUCUCGCCGGCGGCUCCCACCGCAACAAUCGCAGCACAGACAGCCCACGCCACGACCCUCGAAUCCCCAUUCCAGCAGCAGGUUUCCGGUCCAGCACGCCGCCCCCUUGCACAACCACUAGCUGAUCCGCGACACGGCACCGGAGGCGGCCUUCACCGUGAGGCGGUACCAGACUACCAGCUUCCUGCGUGGUCUGUCGGGAUCUCGUCCUCGUUCCACAAGGGACUCGUGGACCAGCAAUACAAGGCCCUGGCGAGUAUGAGUCGCCUGGUGACCGGGGGCCCGCCGACUACAUCGUUGCGCUCUUCGAGUCCCCGGCUACUUCCUCGCGCCGCCGGACAGAUCCUUAUUCCCCCGGCUACAUCCUCUUGUUUCCGGGCUACAUCCUCGCUUCACCGGUGACAUCCUGUGGUAAGAUGGACACAAUGAAGUAGAGUUUGGGAUGUCAUGGUGUGCUGGAUCUGGAGGGGCAUGCUAUAACAUUCCUAUUUUGAGCUGAUGCAGAAACAGCCAGGCUUUGAGAAGAGGAGGGACUUGUAUCUCCUUUACCACUACCUGAAUCACUACAACCUUUUCAGCUCUUGGUACCGCUCAUCAGCUAUGUCCAUAAUUGAAAACUACUUGUGGAUGUUGAAGCAAGGUGGCGAGAGACGGAAGAUCGCUUGCAACCAUCAUCCAGGGUGAAGGCUCACCUCCGGUACCUGUAGGGACAGGGCAACAUCAGUUCGUUGGUGGCGGUGCUGGUGUCCCUCCCUACUAGACAGAACAGCUCGCUGCUGUUCCCGUUUGGCCUCUACGCCAAGCAGCUCUCCGUCACUCUUUCACCACCACACAUCCAUCAAGCCGUUUGUGAACCACAAGCCCUUCCACCAACAGGAUCCCGCCAAUCAUUGCCUUGCGGAGACUUCCAUGACCGAGCCACCACUGCUGCCAUCACCACGCAGCUCCGUUACUGGAGGACCGGUGACUUGCCGCUACUCGCGGGGUCGCCGCACCUCGACCUUGUCGAGGGCCUCUAGACCAUCUGUGUCGCUGGCAGCUCCUUCCUCUGCCAUGGGUUCGCAAUCCACAUGUAUGUAGUACUACUCAAACUGAUCUGCGCGUACUACCAGUAGUGUGUACUACUACUCAAUCUGCCUCUGCUUAUGCAUUUGUACUGAUGUCAAAGCUCAUAUGACCGUUUGUACGAUGUGGUUACUGUAAUGCUUUUUGUAGAUGUAACUCCAGCUUUUUGUUGUGUGUCAGAUUCCAUAUCCUGUUUCUAGAUGUAAUCAAAUGUUUUAAUUUUGACUAGAUGGGAGGUUUUAGGUUCUGUCCUAUAUGUAAUAUGAUGCCUUUGUGCUUUGAUAAACAAUAUGCGUCCUUUUGUA